UCCCCAGAUGUCCCCCAGAUGUCUCAAGCACAUAUUUCACCUAAACUCAUCACUUCUACAUGAUCCUUCUGGUGUUCAGACAGCAGCCACUCAGCUGUGCGGCUAUCUGCGUGAAGCUGUCUGGCACCUUGACCCAUUCGCCACACACAGAAAUUUUGCACCUGUCCCAGAUCUUUCUUUGGAGCUUUAUGAUCUGUUAGCAACAUUAAACAGCUACCUCUGUUGGAAUUAGAGACCAAUGGGACCAUUCCAUGUGAUUCCUGUGGUUCGUCUGAACACAGCUCCUCUCUUCUUGAAAGCACUAAGACAAACAGCUCCUACUUAGGACUCAACACAAAUGAAACCCAAAGGAAUACAGGAUCAAUACUAAGUAUUUUACAAGCAAAAGAUGGAUGCAGACUAUGAUCCGAAAUCCGAAGAACAGGCUUGUAUAUUAAAAGCUGCUAAUCAUUCUCAGGACUCUGAAAGCCUGUCAACAAAGACGUUCAAAAGCUGUCAUCCUGGGAGGUAUCCAAAAUUGGAAGCAGGCAGUGCACACAGAAUUCCGUAGAAGACAGACAGAAACUGUUCCUUCAUUAAGCAGUGGCAUCAAAAUCUAUCACCUCAGUAUUGAAAAGCACCAGAAAUAUGCAGGACAGUGAGAACAAGAGAACAAUGCUGAUUACCCACAGAGCGCUUGAGUUUGCCGGGACUGCAGAUAGACUCGUAGUCAAGAUCCACUUAGACACUUAACAGGCAUCUUAAAUUUAACAUGUCUAAAAUAGAACUUACCAUUUCCUCCCUUAUAAAUUGGUCUCCCCCAAUCUUCUCUCAGUAAAUGUGCUUCUAUCCAGCCAGCUGCUCAGGGAAAAAUCCCAGAAGUGAUAUUUGAUGCCUCUCUUCCCCUCAUUCCCUACAUCCAAACCCUCAGCAAGUAGACUCUGCUCCCAAAAUGUAUCCUGUAUCUAGUCACUUUACCCUCUCCAUUACUACCACCCUAAUCCCAUCACCACUGUCAAACAUCUGCACUGCCACAAUAACCUCUGACUGGUCCCCCCGCUUCCAAGUUUACCUUUCUGCAACUUAAUCUUUAUCCAGUUCUGCACUAGGUAAUUUCCUAGUUUCAGAAACAGUGAUCAUUUUAAUCAUAAAUAUUAUUUAAUCCUCUGCUUAUAACUCUCCAAUGGCUUCCUGUUGUACUUAGAACAAAGUCUAAUCUGCCAUUACUUCCAGGCCAUGUGUAGUCAGGUCUCCUCACUGUCUCUCUGACCUCAUCUUCCACUACACUGCCCCUUUUGCCCUCGUCAUGCUGGCUUGCUUUCUUCGGUUUGAACAUUCCCAUUGCAAGGACUUUGCAACUGCUGUUUCUUUGCAUGGAAUGCCCUUCCUCCAAAUCUUAAUGUGGCCCGUUCCUUCUCAUCAUUCAGGCUUUAGCACAAAUGUCUCCUUAUCUAGGAUGCCUUCCCUGAGUAAUGUUGACCCUCUCCACUAUACCUGCACACCAGGUACAUUCUAUCACAUCAUCCUGUUUUACAUUCUCUGUAGAACUUAAUACUAUCUGAAAUUACAUUAUGAAUGUAUAUGCUUACUUGAUUAUUGUAUGUCUCUCAACUAGGAUAUAAUUUUAAUAAAA
Long non-coding RNA from Diceros bicornis minor, 1612 nucleotides. RefSeq lists it as uncharacterized. The transcript is spliced from 6 exons. The record is from RefSeq and is a predicted model, not a curated record. Lineage: Eukaryota; Metazoa; Chordata; Mammalia; Perissodactyla; Rhinocerotidae.